Daphnia magna is the source of this 636-nucleotide long non-coding RNA. RefSeq lists it as uncharacterized. The record is from RefSeq and is a predicted model, not a curated record. Lineage: Eukaryota; Metazoa; Arthropoda; Branchiopoda; Diplostraca; Daphniidae. The transcript is spliced from 4 exons.
CACCAGCGUAAGAACAGUCUAAGGAUCCUCCUGAACUACUACCCUUUGCAAUUGGACAUUUUCCACUGUCACACACCAAUUUUUGCCUGUGUACCACGACACUUUUUACGUCAACACCCUUUGCAAUUGGACAUUUCCACUGUCACACAUCAACUUUGCCCGUGUACCACGACACUUUGACGUCGACAACAGCAUAGACGACACCAACAGCUCCGGUUCUCUUCCACAACGAGCCGACUACACCUUCCUACAUUCGGGAAUUCUACAACUAAAAAUGUAAGCAUGUUUUAAAGGCUAGCAUCCUGUAAGCCCUGGCACCCCAACCGUAUACAAUGCGCCCAUGCCCCGUGUGAAUCGUCAGGGGGACGAUACGGCGGCUUCCAGCGCGUAUACGUAAUAAGGCUCGUUUCACGUACUCGAUAAACGUCUUUAAUAUUUGGGGACCUUUCAGCGGUUCUUGGCCUUACUGGCGGCAAAAAUGGACCACGGAGACGUGAUGUAUCCUGGCCAAGUCAGCUUAGCCCUCCCGUUAGCUGUUUAGGAAACCAAAUAUUCUGUUUGGCGUAAUCGAUAAACGCUACCGCUAUGCCGGGUCUGGUUUGACCAGUAACCCUUCGUAGUGUGUUUUCAAACCAC